RNAcentral lists this ribosomal RNA (413 nucleotides) under uncultured microorganism. RNAcentral's name for it is "bacterial SSU rRNA". It matches the Rfam family "Archaeal small subunit ribosomal RNA", at positions 330 to 745 of the family's 1478-position model. The record is from RNAcentral.
GUGCACCAGGCGCGAAACUUCACACUGUGCGAAAGCACGAUGAGGGAAUCCCAAGUGCUUGCACGUAAGUGUAAGCUGUUUCUCUGUUUAAACGCAGAGAGAGUAAGGGCUGGGUAAGGCGGGUGCCAGCCGCCGCGGUAAUACCUGCAGCUCAAGUGGUGACCGUUAUUAUUGGGCCUAAAACGUCCGUAGCCGGUUUAAUAAAUGCCUGGGUAAAUCGUGUAGCUUAACUAUACGAAUUCCGGGUAGACUGUUAAACUCGAGACCGGGAGAAGUUAGAGGUACUCCUGGGGUAGAGGUGAAAUUCUGUAAUCCUAGGGGGACCACCAGUGGCGAAGGCGUUCAGCUGGAACGGCUUCGACGGUGAGGGACGAAAGCCAGGGGAGCGAACGGGGAUUAGAUACCCGUGUAGU